AGAGUCACUCUGAGUCACCCAGGCUGGAGUGCACUGGUGCAAUCACGGCUCACUGCACCCUCGAACUUCUGGUCUCAAGCUAUGCUCCUGCCUUAGUUCCCCAAGUAGCUGGGACUACAGGCAUCUCACUGGACACAGAAGACACAACUGUGAACAAGUCCAAGAAAGACCCUGUUCUCAGGAAACUGAAAUUCCUGCUAGAAGGUCUGGCAAACCUUCGUUCAGAGAUAUGACAAAAUCAAGGGUUGUGCAAGAAGCAUGGUGCUGGCAUCUGCUCCUGGUUGAGGCCUCAGGAAGCUUCCAGUCAUGGCAGGAGGCAAAGAGGGAGCCGGCAUGUGCAGAGAUCACAUGGAAAGAGAGGAAGGAAAAAAGAGAGGAGGAGAUAUGAACUAAUAGAGCGAGUACUCACUCCACCAAGGGAAUGGCACCAAGCCAUACAUACAUGAGGGAUCCGCCCCCAUGAACCAACCACCUCUCACUAGGCCCACCUCCAACAUCGGGGAUCACAUUUCAACAUGAGAUUUGGAGGGGACACACAUCCAAACCACAUCAUGCCCAACCUUGAAAUACAGUGAAUCUCACUUUAUUGCUUUUACUCUCAAGCAACCAAAUCCUUUACCCUCUUUCCCACGUCCGCUAUAAUCUAGGGUCAUGAGAACGCCUUAUCUUCAUUCCAGAUCACAAGAGUGUCCCAUUCCACUAAACCACAGGCACUCCCAUGGCAGAAACAUCCUCACUCUCAAAACUUCCUUAAUAUGAAGCACGGUUCUAGGCACAAAACAGGCACACAGAAAAUACUUGUGUGGUUAUUGAUUGAGCAAAGAAUUUUACAAACAGUAAAAGGGGUACUGUAUGCCUGACAGCUCAAGGGUUGUUGUAAAUGCAAACUUCAUCUUUCUGCCUUUGGGGAAAGGAGUACUGAUGCUGGUUUAACUCUGUUCCCUUUAAGAGUGUCUGGUUGAAGCUGAAACUCACACCAUCAACUUCUGAUAAAGCAACAGAAAUUUGACUGGGUUAGGCCUGACUCCAAAGCAGCUUUUAAGAUGGUUAUGUUGCUGCCACUUUUCUCACACAAGGAGCUGGAAAUUCUACCAAGCCUCUGAUCUGACACCAGAGCCUAGUUCUAAACGUUCCCUGGGUCUGCCCCAAUGGUAUACACAAGCCCUGGGAAGAGGAAGAAACAGCUUAUGAUUGCUGUGUCUUCCCCGACGCUGGAAAGAAUGGUGUUCCUUGAUCCCAGUGCUUCCAUGACCCUGAUGAAAGCCUCAGCCCUGGAUCCCAGAGUGAUCGCCUAGAGCAAAUGCUUGAGUGAGAUUUCAGCUCUUCUCUUGCCAAGAUGUGGCUUUUCAAGGCUGGGCUGCCAAUGAAAAUGUCAACAAUGCUCAGAUCAAGAGGAAAAUGCUCAUUUCACCCUCAGAGGGCAUCCAACAUUCCAGCAGAUCAGUGGUGAUCCAAGGUGCCCUUUGUUGAUCAGGGCAGAGAAUACAUUUCCUUUCCCAAGACAGAGCAGUCCAGUGUGGUUAGUAAAUGGGCCAGCACCAAAGAGGCUGCAUGCAGAGUGGAAGCUGAGGCAGGUGAUGCCCUCCUUCCUCCACAGAGAGGCUUAGAUCCCUUAGAAGAGGCAACUGGUCUUGGGGACAUAUUCUGAGUCUCUCCUGAAGCAAUGGAAAUGGGAUCCAGCUUUGGAAUCUGAUCCCCUCCCUUGCAAAUGAAACUUGGUUCCAAGGAGCAACCAACUGAACAAAUCCCAAAUGCCAGACAUUGAAACAAUGGCAGAAUUAGCUAGAGGAGAGCUAAUGUCCCUAUGAAUCUAGCUAGCCCUAAGCCCAAGCCUCACAAGUCAAAAUAUAAAUGAAUUAUCUAAAACUAAGAGACCUGAUUGCUGAAUCUUGAUUAAGAUGAGCAUUCAAGAUGAGGAUACUGAAUGUGUUGAAAUAGCCAAGGGAGGGCUGGGCUUGUUUCAACUAAGGUGUCUACGUGCCUUAUUAACAUUACUAACAAAGGAGAAAAAAAGAUGUUAAAAAGUAGCAAUGAUGCAAUAACUGGCUUUGAGUGAUUCUAGAAAAGGAGCAGGCAUUUGCUUUGAAAUGAACUCUCAGAAUUAGCUUGUUCUUCCACAGGAUCAUAGACUCGUCUAGUUUUGUGUUUUCCAGACUGUGCUGUGAGGAGAACAAGCAAUUCCUGAGAGAUCUCAGGCUCCAUCCUCCUACCCUGCCUGAGCUGAAGAAGCUCUUUGUGCCCCUUCUGAAUAUGAUUGGGUUUCUGAGUAAGAAGUUGUUGGGAGAAGUCGUUCUGCUGCUUUGUAUCGGAUAGGACUCUCAGUUGUGAAAGACAAAGACCCUGAUUAACACAAAAUUCAUUUAGGCAAAAGUAGUGUCACACAUAAACUGAAAAGUUAAAAGCUGUGAGCUUCAAGCACAGCCAGAUACAGUGGCUUCUUUGAUGUCAGUGGGGCUGAGGGAGUCUCUGUUUCCUACCUUGCCUCCUUCUAUGUCAGCUUUAUUCAGGCAACCUUCCUUCCCAUGCGGUGGCAAGAUGACCAUCCGGCGGGUUCAGGCUUCCAGCCGGUCAUCUCAGAAGCCCAGUGGUUGUCCUUCCCGAUAGCUCUCUAUCAAUCAGGAUUAGGUUAAGCUGCCAAGUAAAAGAAAACUCAAAGUGACAACAGUUUAAACAAGCUAGAAGUUCAUUCUGUCUUACAUAAACAAAAUCCCAAAGUAAGCAGUCCAGGACUGUGUAGUUCCUCCACAAACAUACAUACGCAUGCAUGUAUCUUUAUGAUAGAAUGAAGGAGAAUAGUGCUACAAUGAACAUACGCAUGCAUGUAUCUUUAUGAUAGAAUGAUUUAUAUUCCUCUGGGUAUAUACCCAGUAAUGGGAUUGUUUGGUCAAAUAGUAUUUCUGUUUCUAGAUCUUUGAGGAAUUGUCACAGUGUUUUCCACAAUGGUUAAUUAAUGGUUAAAUUAAUUAAUUUACAUUCCCACCAUCAGUGUAAAAGUGUUCCUAUUUCUCUGCAACUUCACCAGCAUCUGUUGUUUCUAGACUUUUUAAUAGUUGCCAUUCUGACUGGCAUGAGAUGGUAUCUCACUGUGGUUUUGAUUUGCAUUUCUCUAAUGAUCAGUGAUGUUGAGCUUUUUUUCAUAUGUUUUUUGGCUGCAUGAAUGUCUUCCUUUGAGAAGUGUCUGUUCAUGUCUUUUAUCCACUUCUUAAAGGAAAACCCCCGUCUCUUAAAAAGAAAAAAAAAAUCCUUGGUCAAAUGUAAUCAUAUGCCCACACCUAGUUGUAAGGGAGGCUAGAAGUGUAAUCUUUGUUCCUGGAAGAUAUAAACCCAGCUAAAAGUCAAGAGUUCUGUUACUAAGGGAGAUGGAGAAAAUGGAUUUUGGAGGGAGACUAAUAGCAUCUCAUCUGCCAUGUUAAACUAAUAGUUCCAACAAAAGUUUUCUGGGUUUUUUUGUUUGUUUGUUUUUGUUUUUGAGAUGGAGUCUCACUCUGUU
Molecule: long non-coding RNA, 3490 nt
Filed under: Homo sapiens (human)
Lineage: Eukaryota; Metazoa; Chordata; Mammalia; Primates; Hominidae
Description: HSALNT0135999
Source: RNAcentral